Doryrhamphus excisus (bluestripe pipefish) is the source of this 1539-nucleotide non-coding RNA. Lineage: Eukaryota; Metazoa; Chordata; Actinopteri; Syngnathiformes; Syngnathidae. The record is from RefSeq and is a predicted model, not a curated record.
GCACACAGCUCCUUCCAGAAGCUGCAUGGAUUCAUAGAGACAAGUUCAACAAGUGAUAUUCGAUCGUCAAGCUCAAGGCUGACUUGCAGUGAAAGCCGAAAGCUUUUCUAGCUUUUCAGCUUCACCGAACAGGACGAAAGAGAGGAGCCCGAUUGUUCUCAUGUUACACAAUGCCGUUCAUCGGAGCUCCAUCCGGGAUUGUUCCACCGGUCUCACGGCUGGCCGGCAACGUCCGACUAGAACACAAACAUAGAAAUCUCGUGAGAAAAUAAUUUGGCAAUUUAUCAAAAUAAUACGAGGAAAAAUAUGUAAACACAAAAAAUGAAAAAUUAGGUCGGCAAAACGCUACGUUCAUGGACAUUACAACCCGGAAGCCCUGAGACUGACAUCGCUCUUGCUAGCAUAGCAACGGAACAUUAGCAUAUUUACUCACAUCACGGCAAGGUUCAUCGGGGCGCCACACGUAGGUUUGUCCUGUGUAUUGCACCCUUUUCGUUCCGUCUGGCUGCAAGUAUUUACUAAUGCGACACAGUGUGGACUGAGGAUCUCUGCUCCAACAACUAAACAUGAGGAUUCCAACAUCCAGUGAACGCAGCACACGUCACCGGAAUAAGGCAUCCUCAUGGCCUCCAGCUGCUUUGUUCCAAGUUGUAUAUUAAAGGGAAAGUUGGCAUGUGUCACGUGAUGCUGAUGCUGAUGUUUUGUGUGAAGUCCAAGGAGUGGAGCGCCGUGGCCAGUGCUGCGUACAGGUGAGAGCUGCUGAACUGCAGGGAGUACACGGGACUACUCACUGACUCUGUGCCCAACUGGAAGAACUGCAACAAAUACAUCAAAUAUUUGACAUGAAAAAAUAAAUAUGUUUUCAAUUUACAGUGGAACCUUGGUUAGUGUCAUCAAUUCCUUCCAAAAAGGCCCGACUCUAACUAAAACGGACAUUAACCAAAUAGAGAGUUCCUGUGAGAAAUAAUGGAAAGCCAAAAAUGUUAACACAAGACAUAUUUGGAGAGUCCACCUUUUACACGUUAACCAAAAAACAUGCUAACUGGUGCGGUUGCUAACCAAGGUUCCACUGGAUCUAUUCAGGCUGGAAGAUGUUAUAGUCCAUACUGAGGAAGACUUUUCAUACGAUGUACCGUUCAUGGCCAGAGAAUAUGAAUUUGCCACAGGAUGACGCUGUUUGAUGUAAAUAUUUAGGGGGAAUGGUUAAACGGCAGUUUGGGAACGGGAAUGGGAACGGGCCUUCACAGCACAUACAGGCCAGAAAGGCAUUUCAUAAUUAAGUAUACAAAAUGUGCACACACCUGUAAGCAUUCAGUCCUUCUUUUGUCCCAGAGUCGAACGACACCAUAGUAGGAGGAGCCACUGGCUAUCAUGUGAUUUCCGUCUGUCUGGAUGCAGUACAAGGCGCUGUCGUGAGGUUCCUCCCACUCCAUGACAUACUUCCUGUUGGGGAGAAACUCACAUCUUACUGUGAUACUGUGACCCAAGGAAAAUAAUCGAGUAUAAACGAAUGCAAUUUCAUGGAAGAAAUACUAGAAU